UCGAGCGCUACCUUCGGGUGGAGCGGCGGACGGGUUAGUAACGCGUGGGAACAUACCCUUUUCUACGGAAUAGCCUCGGGAAACUGAGAGUAAUACCGUAUAAGCCCUUCGGGGGAAAGAUUUAUCGGGAAAGGAUUGGCCCGCGUUAGAUUAGAUAGUUGGUGGGGUAAUGGCCUACCAAAGCUACGAUCUAUAGCUGGUUUUAGAGGAUGAUCAGCAACACUGGGACUGAGACACGGCCCAGACUCCUACGGGAGGCAGCAGUGGGGAAUCUUAGACAAUGGGCGAAAGCCUGAUCUAGCCAUGCCGCGUGAGUGAUGAAGGUCUUAGGAUCGUAAAGCUCUUUCGCUAGGGAUGAUAAUGACAGUACCUAGUAAAGAAGCCCCGGCUAACUCCGUGCCAGCAGCCGCGGUAAUACGGAGGGGGCUAGCGUUGUUCGGAAUUACUGGGCGUAAAGCGUACGUAGGCGGAUCAGAGAGUAUGGGGUGAAAUCCCAGGGCUCAACCCUGGAACUGCCUCAUAAACUCCUGGUCUUGAGUUCGAGAGAGGUGAGUGGAAUUGCGAGUGUAGAGG
RNAcentral lists this ribosomal RNA (573 nucleotides) under uncultured bacterium. Its description in RNAcentral is "bacterial SSU rRNA". It matches the Rfam family "Bacterial small subunit ribosomal RNA", at positions 62 to 681 of the family's 1533-position model. The record is from RNAcentral.